RNAcentral lists this ribosomal RNA (468 nucleotides) under uncultured bacterium. Its description in RNAcentral is "partial 16S ribosomal RNA". It matches the Rfam family "Bacterial small subunit ribosomal RNA", at positions 28 to 507 of the family's 1533-position model. The record is from RNAcentral.
GACGAACGCUGGCGGCGUGCUUAACACAUGCAAGUCGAACGGAAAGGCCCUGCUUUUGUGGGGUGCUCGAGUGGCGAACGGGUGAGUAACACGUGAGUAACCUGCCCUUGACUUUGGGAUAACUUCAGGAAACUGGGGCUAAUACCGGAUAGGAGCUCCUGCUGCAUGGUGGGGGUUGGAAAGUUUCGGCGGUUGGGGAUGGACUGGCGGCUUAUCAGCUUGUUGGUGGGGUAGUGGCUUACCAAGGCUUUGACGGGUAGCCGGCCUGAGAGGGUGACCGGCGACAUUGGGACUGAGAUACGGCCCAGACUCCUACGGGAGGCAGCAGUGGGGAAUAUUGCACAAUGGGCGGAAGCCUGAUGAGGCAACGCCGCGUGCGGGAUGACGGUCUUCGGGUUGUAAACCGCUUUCGCCUGUGACGAAGCGUGAGUGGCGGUAAUGGGUAAAGAAGCACCGGCUAACUACGUG